CCCUUAGAUGUCCUGGGCCGCACGCGUGCUACACUGACCGGCGCAACAAGUUUCUUUCCUUGGCUCGAUAGGCCUGGGUAAUCUUUGAACGCCGGUCGUGAUGGGGAUAGAUCCUUGCAAUUUUUGAUCUUCAACGAGGAAUUCCUAGUAAAUGCGAGUCAUCAUCUCGCGUUGAUUACGUCCCUGCCCUUUGUACACACCGCCCGUCGCACCUACCGAUUGAAUGGUCCGGUGAAGCCUCGGGAUUGCGAAUGCUUCGUGCGGACGCGAGAACUUGGCUAAACCUUACCAUUUAGAGGAAGGUGAAGUCGUAACA
Molecule: ribosomal RNA, 316 nt
Filed under: uncultured eukaryote
Lineage: Eukaryota
Description: partial 18S ribosomal RNA
Rfam family: Eukaryotic small subunit ribosomal RNA
Source: RNAcentral